AACGAACGCUGGCAGAAUGCUUAACACAUGCAAGUCGAACGUGAAAGUCCUUCGGGAUGAGUAAAGUGGCGCACGGGUGAGUAACACGUAGGUGACCUGCCGUUUAGAGGGGGAUAACCAGAAGAAAUUUUGGCUAAUACCGCAUACGACGAACAAAUUUAAAAAUAGUUCUUGAAAGGAUGCCUCUGUAUAUGCAUCUACUAAACGAUGGGCCUGCGGUACAUUAGCUAGUUGGUGGGGUAAUGGCCUAACAAGGCGACGAUGUAUAACGGAUCUGAGAGGAUGAUCCGUCACACUGGAACUGAGACACGGUCCAGACUCCUACGGGAGGCAGCAGUGGGGAAUAUUGGACAAUGGGCGAAAGCCUGAUCCAGCAAUUCUGCGUGAGUGAGGAAGGACUUCGGUCUGUAAAGCUCUGUUAAUGUGGAAAAAUGGUCGUUGGUCUAAUAGGCCGAUUAUUUGACGGUACACAUAGAGGAAGCACCGGCUAACUUCGUGCCAGCCGCCGCGGUAA
RNAcentral lists this ribosomal RNA (514 nucleotides) under uncultured bacterium. RNAcentral describes it as "partial 16S ribosomal RNA". It matches the Rfam family "Bacterial small subunit ribosomal RNA", at positions 29 to 523 of the family's 1533-position model. The record is from RNAcentral.